UACGAAGGGGGCUAGCGUUGCUCGGAAUCACUGGGCGUAAAGGGUGCGUAGGCGGGUCUUUAAGUCAGGGGUGAAAUCCUAGAGCUCAACUCCAGAACUGCCUUUGAUACUGAAGAUCUUGAGUUCGGGAGAGGUGAGUGGAACUGCGAGUGUAGAGGUGAAAUUCGUAGAUAUUCGCAAGAACACCAGUGGCGAAGGCGGCUCACUGGCCCGAUACUGACGCUGAGGCACGAAAGCGUGGGGAGCAAACAGG
This 253-nucleotide ribosomal RNA is filed under the name uncultured bacterium. RNAcentral describes it as "partial 16S ribosomal RNA". It matches the Rfam family "Bacterial small subunit ribosomal RNA", at positions 524 to 776 of the family's 1533-position model. The record is from RNAcentral.